This 445-nucleotide ribosomal RNA is filed under the name uncultured bacterium. RNAcentral describes it as "partial 16S ribosomal RNA". It matches the Rfam family "Bacterial small subunit ribosomal RNA", at positions 354 to 796 of the family's 1533-position model. The record is from RNAcentral.
GUGAGGAAUAUUGGUCAAUGGGCGCGAGCCUGAACCAGCCAAGUAGCGUGAGGGAUGACUGCCCUAUGGGUUGUAAACCUCUUUUGCAGGGGGGUAAAGUGGUUCACGUGUGGACCAUUGCAAGUACCCUGCGAAUAAGGAUCGGCUAACUCCGUGCCAGCAGCCGCGGUAAUACGGAGGAUCCGAGCGUUAUCCGGAUUUAUUGGGUUUAAAGGGAGCGUAGGCGGGGGUUUAAGUCAGCUGUGAAAUGCCGUGGCCCAACCAUGGAACUGCAGUUGAAACUGGACAUCUUGAGAGUACAUAAGGAAGGCGGAAUUCGUGGUGUAGCGGUGAAAUGCAUAGAUAUUGGGAAGAACACCGGUGGCGAAGGCGGCUUACUGGACGAUAACUGACGUUGAGGCUCGAAGGCGUGGGGAGCAAACAGGAUUAGAAACCCGAGUAGUCC